CUUCUUCUUUUCCUUCCGCAUUGCAUAUCGUUGCGAUCGCUUUCAUAUUGCUGCCGGCGAAUCGCCCGCGUCCCCUCCCUGCUCUUGAGCACGCUUCGCUACACACGCGCACACCCACACCCACAUGCUAGGUGAUACCUGCAGCCUCUCUCUCUCCCCCUCGAAGAGGAGGGGAGCGUGACAAAGCCGAUGAGCAGAGUCAGAGCAUUUUCGGUAUCGUGGUGUCGCGCAAGCGGAUGAGAAGGCGAGCGGGCAACUAUCGCUGACGAAGAGGUCAGACGCGGAGAGCCUCCAUCCAUCCACCAUUUUUGUUACCCCUUUUUCGUUCUUGCGCGCACGACACGACACGGCCGCGCGGUGGAUGGACAGAAGUGCCGUGUGCGGGUCCACAGCGCAAGAUCGCGCGUUUCUGCCAACAGCUUGGACAGUGUCCGGCGGCUGCGAAGCUGCGCGACGCUUCCAUUCCGGUUCGGCGGCGUACACUGUGGUGUGUCCGCCGUGAGAGGGGGCGUGCAAGGUUGCGCUUACUUCAUUUGGCUGCUUUGGCCCUUCUGCCCGCUUCCGCCGUAUCUCCCACCCACAAACCUCGCUGAGGGAGGCUGUACUCGUGAUAGGGGCACUUCGGCAUCCUGCUGCUCUGCAAGUGUGUGUUCUCUUCCUACCGUGCCUCCCCCCCUUUUCGUGCUCCUGUUCGCGGUUAGACACACCAGGACCACGGGUUCUAUCGUCCGCUCGUCCCGGGAACAUGCGCUGCAGAGGGCUCGCACGCGCGAGAGCCACGCCGGAGUUGACGAGGUAGUCGAAGGCCCUCUCCAAGGCCAGCGCAGUGUCGCGGCUCUCUGAUGACUUAGUGUCGCACCCGUUGAAUGCGACACCGUCGAUCGCCGAGAGCACGACGGCGGCGACGGUCUGCAUCGCGUCCGCGCGUGCGGUGUACGCGCUGAUUCUGGCGAUUUAGACAAGGUGAGCUUUGGGCAAGGCCCGUGCCGGCAUCUGCUUUUUCUCUCGGCAGUGGGCGCGGGCGGGCUCUCUAGACGAAGAGAAAGCCAGCGGCAGGCAGGCAGCGACUCUCCCGCGUCACGCAGCUCUGCUACCCGCGGUGGACAGACGGCACAGCGCAGACAGACACCAAGUCAGGUGCGGCCGCGGUGCGCUAUCGUGAUAACGCGCGCACAGGUGUACACGGGCAAGGAGCUGCGGCGGCCUUGCGUGCGGCGCCCGCGCCGAGUAUGGAGCAGUGGUACUGGCGCCUGAACUGCUGCGAGGAUGGCUUGACCAGCUACAACACAGAGAGGCAUGUGGGGUUGCCGUUGUUGCGGACUCGCUCUCCCGCCCUCACGGCGCUCGACACGUGGCCCUGUCAUUGUGGAGGAUGGCGGAGCGCGACGGACCUGGGCACGUGCGCUGGCGCUGGUGUGGGCCGUCGCGUGCGCCUUCGAGCACCGAUUGCCUUGGCCCAUUGCGGGUGGGAACCCAAAGGCAGGCUGAACAAGCUCGCAAAACAGGCAGUGCCAGGGGCGCCGACGCCAACUGCAUGGAUUCCGGACCUGGCCACCGGUCUCCGACGCCCGGCCGACGCCCACCGAAACGGCGCUACGCGAUGCGGCACGCUGAGACGAGAGCAGCUACUAGGCGGCAUCUGCCCGGCACCACAAGAGCGCGGAUGCUGAGCUGACGAGACGACAGGCGACCCUCCUCGCCCAGCUGCGCACGAGCACCUGUCCGCACUUUGGGCUCCUGCAGUGGCGGGUGACGGGCAGCGACAGCGUGGGGUCGCAGGUGGUGUGCUGCCUACUACUGCGCUGGCGUUGCGGUGCUCUCCCCCCCCCUCUGUGACUUUUCGGAAGGACAAGCCAUGAUCUCUCUGCGUGCAGGCACAUGCUUAUGCACGGCCCCCCUCCCUCCGCUUGACAUGCCCGCUCCUGUGCAGGGCGCGCGGACUCAGGAGAGGGUGGAGUGUUCCAUGUCGCCGCAGGCUCAUAGCGGCGUCCCACCUAUCCCACCUGUCGCGGCACGUGCGGGCGAGCCGUGCCGACAUGCCGCCCUCCCCUCCCCCAUGACAGAGAGGGAAAUGGAGGAUGAGGACAGCGACUGACCGACGCAGCAGCGUCGUUUUGAAACAGGCCCCAGGAUCCGUUAGUGCGAGCACUGUGUGCCGACGCUGUCAGGUACAGACGACAUGGCGCGUCACAUCGAAGCAGGGCGUGCAGAGGUGAGAGGAGCACGAGUGAUCGACGGAGAAGGCGCGAAGGUAUCCACACCGAUGAGCCCCAAAACGCAUGGGCGCAAACCACGCGGCAUCCCCUGCAUCCGGCCGGGCGGACUGAUGCGGCACGGAUGCCGGGAGCGUGAGGAGAACCGCACGGCGUCGCACCACCGAGCCCUCCAGGUUCUAAUGUGGAGAAUCUCUACAGAACCUGAUGGAGUAGAGCGGCUAUACGCGACUCAGAGGGAUAGGCGUGGCGCAAGGCAGGGUGCGCCGGAUCUCAGAGUGCCCUGGCCCGAGGAUGGCCAACAUCCCCCCUGGGCUCACCCGGCAUGCACCUGGAACACCCCCUACUCGCCGCAUGAUAGACACCACGGCCUCCGCCGUCGAGUACGAGACUGGACGCGGCCCUCGCGGGUCAAGGUGUGCGGUGCACCCAUGCCCGUCUGGCGCCCAUUGCGCACCACAUAUGCUCAGAAGGAACGGGAAGGGCCAGAAAAGGCCGCAAGACGCAUACCCCCGAUUCGACGGCAGGACGGCUCGUCCCAGAGGACCCGGAUUGAGCCACAGUGCAGCAAAGGCAGGUACGCCAUGCUUGUAUAUGCGUGUAUGCGUUUGCGGACUUGCUCGUGGCAGAAUGGCGUGCUGAAAGCAAGGGGCAUUCAUGCACUGCUCUACACCGAUGAAGAGAGACACCUUAGUGUGUGGUGCUGCAGGGCCCAGCAAACACCUCUCUGGGUGGACGCCGAGCAGCCCCCCCCCUCCAUCCCCAUGCCUGGUGAACGCCGGAGCACUUUGUGCUUAUUUUGUCAAGGAUGUUCGACGAAGGAGCGGCCAGAGCGGUGCAUCACUACUGAUGUCGGCGCUCAGGUCCAGGAUGGCCUUGUGUCGGAGUUAGCCGCGACAGCGGACACGGUUGUGCCAUGCUUGUGUUAGGCAGAGUGUACGCGUGGCUAGAGCGCACCCCUUCCGGCCCUAACUGCCCACUAGUGUGGGGAGCCCGAGUACCAUCCCUGAUGGUGGACACACACCGUGCGGUGACCGGCAUGAUGGGGGAGCGGCCUGCGAGUCGGCUGCGAGGCGGCCGUGGUGGGUAGAGUUUGAGGCAGAGGCCAUGCUCAGAUGGCUGAGUCGGCGCAUUGCUGUAGCACGUGUGUCUCACGCUGCUUCGCACCAGGCGAUGCGGUGCCUGUGACGGGGCUGCUAGUGUGCUGUCUGGCUUAAUUUCUAUUUUAGCGUCAUGGGCACAGCUUGAACAACAGCGGAGAAAGGAACGCGGUGUAUGUUUUGGUAGGCUUCACUGUAAGCUGCUUGGGCUCACGCGUAUCUUCGAACAGCGUUCAGGCGCACUCUUGUGCAUUGUGCUGAGCCUAGCUGCGAUACACG
RNAcentral lists this unclassified non-coding RNA (3592 nucleotides) under Leishmania donovani. RNAcentral's name for it is "gene:unknown". Lineage: Eukaryota; Euglenozoa; Kinetoplastea; Trypanosomatida; Trypanosomatidae. The record is from RNAcentral.